GUGCCAGCAGCCGCGGUAACACGUAGGGCGCAAGCGUUGUCCGGAAUUAUUGGGCGUAAAGAGCGCGCAGGCGGUUCAUCAAGUCGAAUGUGAAAGCCCCCGGCUUAACUGGGGAGGGGCAUUCGAUACUGCUGGACUUGAAGGCAGGAGAGGGAAGUGGAAUUCCCGGUGUAGUGGUGAAAUGCGUAGAUAUCGGGAGGAACACCAGUGGCGAAGGCGACUUCCUGGCCUGUUCUUGACGCUGAGGCGCGAAAGCUGGGGGAGCAAACGGGAUUAGAUACCCCAGUAGUCC
RNAcentral lists this ribosomal RNA (292 nucleotides) under uncultured bacterium. Its description in RNAcentral is "partial 16S ribosomal RNA". It matches the Rfam family "Bacterial small subunit ribosomal RNA", at positions 505 to 796 of the family's 1533-position model. The record is from RNAcentral.